This 78-nucleotide antisense RNA is filed under the name Mycobacterium noviomagense. RNAcentral describes it as "ASpks TB sRNA". It matches the Rfam family "ASpks TB sRNA". Lineage: Bacteria; Bacillati; Actinomycetota; Actinomycetes; Mycobacteriales; Mycobacteriaceae. The record is from Rfam by way of RNAcentral.
CUUGAUCGAGCCCAACCACAAAGGUUUUCCGGGCUCCGCCCUAUCUUGCCCGUAGGUCGCCAAAAGGGCUUGCGCUUC